UUUAAACGCAACCAUAAAUUUUCGCGUCCAACUUUGAUCGUCUAUCUUAUUUAAAUUUUUUAUAGUAUUUUUAUUGUUAUUAUAUGAUAAAACAUAAAUAGUACUUCAUAUGUGACUUAUAUUUUUUAAAUUUUUUAAAUAAGACGGCGAUUAAAAUUGAACACGAAAACUUGGACGGAGGGAGU
Molecule: microRNA precursor, 185 nt
Filed under: Oryza glumipatula
Lineage: Eukaryota; Viridiplantae; Streptophyta; Magnoliopsida; Poales; Poaceae
Description: MIR812 microRNA precursor family
Rfam family: MIR812 microRNA precursor family
Source: Rfam by way of RNAcentral